This 247-nucleotide ribosomal RNA is filed under the name uncultured crenarchaeote. RNAcentral's name for it is "partial 16S ribosomal RNA". It matches the Rfam family "Archaeal small subunit ribosomal RNA", at positions 478 to 725 of the family's 1478-position model. The record is from RNAcentral. Lineage: Archaea; Thermoproteati; Thermoproteota.
AGCUCUCCGAGUGGUGUGGACGUUUAUUGGGCCUAAAGCAUCCGUAGCUGGCUGAACAAGUCCCCUGUUAAACCCAACGAUUUAAUCGUUGGUCUGCGGGGGAUACUGCUCGGCUAGGGGACGAGAGAGGCAGACGGUAUUUCCGGGGUAGGGGUGAAAUCCUAUAAUCCCGGGAGGACCACCAGUGGCGAAGGCUGUCUGCUAGAACGCGCCCGACGGUGAGGGAUGAAAGCUGGGGGAGCGAACC